RNAcentral lists this ribosomal RNA (479 nucleotides) under uncultured bacterium. RNAcentral describes it as "partial 16S ribosomal RNA". It matches the Rfam family "Bacterial small subunit ribosomal RNA", at positions 28 to 507 of the family's 1533-position model. The record is from RNAcentral.
GAUGAGCGCUAGCGGGAGGCCUAACACAUGCAAGCCGAGCGGUAGAGUUUCUUCGGAAACUUGAGAGCGGCGCACGGGUGCGUAACACGUGUGCAACCUACCUUUAUCUGGGGGAUAGCCUUUCGAAAGGAAGAUUAAUACCCCAUAAUAUAAUGAUUGGCAUCAAUUAUUAUUGAAAACUCCGGUGGAUAGAGAUGGGCACGCGCAAGAUUAGAUAGUUGGUGAGGUAACGGCUCACCAAGUCAAUGAUCUUUAGGGGUCCUGAGAGGGAGAUCCCCCACACUGGUACUGAGACACGGACCAGACUCCUACGGGAGGCAGCAGUGAGGAAUAUUGGACAAUGGGUGAGAGCCUGAUCCAGCCAUCCCGCGUGAAGGAUGACGGCCCUAUGGAUUGUAAACUUCUUUUGUACAGGGAUAAACCUACCCUCGUGAGGGUAGCUGAAGGUACUGUACGAAUAAGCACCGGCUAACUCCGUG